RNAcentral lists this ribosomal RNA (484 nucleotides) under uncultured bacterium. RNAcentral describes it as "partial 16S ribosomal RNA". It matches the Rfam family "Bacterial small subunit ribosomal RNA", at positions 30 to 507 of the family's 1533-position model. The record is from RNAcentral.
AUUGAACGCUGGCGGCAGGCCUAACACAUGCAAGUCGAGCGGAUGAAGGGAGCUUGCUCCUGGAUUCAGCGGCGGACGGGUGAGUAAUGCCUAGGAAUCUGCCUGGUAGUGGGGGAUAACGUCCGGAAACGGGCGCUAAUACCGCAUACGUCCUGAGGGAGAAAGUGGGGGAUCUUCGGACCUCACGCUAUCAGAUGAGCCUAGGUCGGAUUAGCUAGUUGGUGGGGUAAAGGCCUACCAAGGCGACGAUCCGUAACUGGUCUGAGAGGAUGAUCAGUCACACUGGAACUGAAGCACGGUCCAGACCCCUACGGGAGGCAGCAGGGGGGAAUUUUGGACAAUGGGCGAAAGCCUGAUCCAGCCAUGCCGCGUGUGUGAAGAAGGUCUUCGGAUUGUAAAGCACUUUAAGUUGGGAGGAAGGGCAGUAAGUUAAUACCUUGCUGUUUUGACGUUACCAACAGAAUAAGCACCGGCUAACUUCGUG